AUGCCAUGGAGUGGACACUCCCUUUAAAGAUCUUUGUACCUUUUCCAUGCAUCAUAAAUAGAUUCAUUGUCAUUUUGCCUAAAGGUAUUAAGUUCAGUUCUUAGUUU
Small nucleolar RNA from Hevea brasiliensis (rubber tree), 107 nucleotides. NCBI's taxonomy places the organism in Eukaryota, Viridiplantae, Streptophyta, Magnoliopsida, Malpighiales, Euphorbiaceae. The record is from RefSeq and is a predicted model, not a curated record.